UGACUCAGUGGUAAAGAAUCUGCCUGCCAAGCAGGACACACAGGUUCAAUCCCUGU
This 56-nucleotide transfer RNA is filed under the name Bos taurus (domestic cattle). It matches the Rfam family "tRNA", at positions 8 to 63 of the family's 71-position model. Rfam says of the family: Transfer RNA (tRNA) molecules are approximately 80 nucleotides in length. Their secondary structure includes four short double-helical elements and three loops (D, anti-codon, and T loops). Lineage: Eukaryota; Metazoa; Chordata; Mammalia; Artiodactyla; Bovidae. RNAcentral also lists the same sequence under 4 other names. The record is from Rfam by way of RNAcentral.